Molecule: ribosomal RNA, 903 nt
Filed under: Dictyosporium strelitziae
Lineage: Eukaryota; Fungi; Ascomycota; Dothideomycetes; Pleosporales; Dictyosporiaceae
Description: eukaryotic LSU rRNA
Rfam family: Eukaryotic large subunit ribosomal RNA
Source: RNAcentral
UUGACCUCGAAUCAGGUAGGGAUACCCGCUGAACUUAAGCAUAUCAAUAAGCGGAGGAAAAGAAACCAACAGGGAUUGCCCUAGUAACGGCGAGUGAAGCGGCAAUAGCUCAAAUUUGAAAUCUGGCUUCCUUGGAAGUCCGAGUUGUAAUUUGCAGAGGGCGCUUUGGCGUCGGUAGCGGUCUAAGUUCCUUGGAACAGGACGUCACAGAGGGUGAGAAUCCCGUACGUGGUCGACUACCUUCGCCGUGUAAAGCCCCUUCGACGAGUCGAGUUGUUUGGGAAUGCAGCUCUAAAUGGGAGGUAAAUUUCUUCUAAAGCUAAAUACUGGCCAGAGACCGAUAGCGCACAAGUAGAGUGAUCGAAAGAUGAAAAGCACUUUGGAAAGAGAGUCAAACAGCACGUGAAAUUGUUGAAAGGGAAGCGCUUGCCGCCAGACGUGCCCGUGGUGGUUCUCCUCCGCGGGCAGGCCAGCAUCAGUUUGGGCGAUCGGAUAAAGGCCUCUGUCAUGUAUCUCCCUUCGGGGUGACCUUAUAGGGGAGGCGUAAUGCGAUCAGCCUGGACUGAGGUCCGCGCAUCUGCUAGGAUGCUGGCGUAAUGGCUGUAAGCGGCCCGUCUUGAAACACGGACCAAGGAGUCUAACAUCUAUGCGAGUGUUUGGGUGUCAAGCCCGAGCGCGUAAUGAAAGUGAACGGAGGUGGGAACCCUUUGGGUGCACCAUCGACCGAUCCUGAAGUCUUCGGAUGGAUUUGAGUAAGAGCAUGGCUGUUGGGACCCGAAAGAUGGUGAACUAUGCUUGAAUAGGGUGAAGCCAGAGGAAACUCUGGUGGAGGCUCGCAGCGGUUCUGACGUGCAAAUCGAUCGUCAAAUUUGGGCAUAGGGGCGAAAGACUAAUCGAACUAUC